RNAcentral lists this ribosomal RNA (501 nucleotides) under uncultured bacterium. Its description in RNAcentral is "partial 16S ribosomal RNA". It matches the Rfam family "Bacterial small subunit ribosomal RNA", at positions 30 to 523 of the family's 1533-position model. The record is from RNAcentral.
AUUGAACGCUGGCGGCAGGCUUAACACAUGCAAGUCGAGCGGGGGAAGGUAGCUUGCUACCGGACCUAGCGGCGGACGGGUGAGUAAUGCUUAGGAAUCUGCCUAUUAGUGGGGGACAACAUCUCGAAAGGGAUGCUAAUACCGCAUACGUCCUACGGGAGAAGGCAGGGGAUCUUCGGACCUUGCGCUAAUAGAUGAGCCUAAGUCGGAUUAGCUAGUUGGUGGGGUAAAGGCCUACCAAGGCGACGAUCCGUAGCGGGUCUGGGAGGAUGAUCCGCCAAACUGGGACUGAGACGCGACCCAGACUCCUACGUGAGGCAGCAGUGGGGAAUAUUGGACAAUGGGGGGAACCCUGAGCCAGCCAUGCCGCGUGUGUGAAGAAGGCCUUAUGGUUGUAAAGCACUUUAAGCGAGGAGGAGGCUACUCUAGUUAAUACCUAGGGAUAGUGGACGUUACUCGCAGAAUAAGCACCGGCUAACUCUGUGCCAGCCGCCGCCGUAA